This 73-nucleotide transfer RNA is filed under the name Felis catus (domestic cat). It matches the Rfam family "tRNA". From Rfam's summary of the family: Transfer RNA (tRNA) molecules are approximately 80 nucleotides in length. Their secondary structure includes four short double-helical elements and three loops (D, anti-codon, and T loops). Further hydrogen bonds mediate the characteristic L-shaped molecular structure. tRNAs have two regions of fundamental functional importance: the anti-codon, which is responsible for specific mRNA codon recognition, and the 3' end, to which the tRNAs corresponding amino acid is attached (by aminoacyl-tRNA synthetases). tRNAs cope with the degeneracy of the genetic code in two manners: having more than one tRNA (with a specific anti-codon) for a particular amino acid; and 'wobble' base-pairing, i.e. permitting non-standard base-pairing at the 3rd anti-codon position. Lineage: Eukaryota; Metazoa; Chordata; Mammalia; Carnivora; Felidae. RNAcentral also lists the same sequence under 3 other names. The record is from Rfam by way of RNAcentral.
GCCUGCCUGGCUCAGUCGGUAGAGCAUGUAACUCUUAAUCUUGGGGUUGUGAGUCAGAGCCCCACGGUGGGCA